UGCAUAGGAAUCUACCUAGUAGUAUAGGAUAGCCACUAGAAAUGGUGGGUAAUACUGUAUAAUCCCUGCGGGGGAAAGAUUUAUCGCUACUAGAUGAGCCUAUGUCAGAUUAGCUAGUUGGUGGGGUAAUGGCCCACCAAGGCUGUGAUCUGUAGCUGGUCUGAGAGGAUGAUCAGCCACACUGGAACUGAGACACGGUCCAGACUCCUACGGGAGGCAGCAGUGGGGAAUAUUGGACAAUGGGCGCAAGCCUGAUCCAGCUAUGCCGCGUGAGUGAGGAAGGCCUUAGGGUUGUAAAACUCUUUCAGUAGGGAAGAUAAUGACGGUACCUACAGAAGAAGUCCCGGCAAACUCCGUGCCAGCAGCCGCGGUAAUACGGAGGGGGCAAGCGUUGUUCGGAAUUAUUGGGCGUAAAGGGC
RNAcentral lists this ribosomal RNA (419 nucleotides) under Anaplasma ovis. RNAcentral's name for it is "bacterial SSU rRNA". It matches the Rfam family "Bacterial small subunit ribosomal RNA", at positions 114 to 568 of the family's 1533-position model. The record is from RNAcentral. Lineage: Bacteria; Pseudomonadati; Pseudomonadota; Alphaproteobacteria; Rickettsiales; Anaplasmataceae.